GACCUCAAAUCAGGUAGGACUACCCGCUGAACUUAAGCAUAUCAAUAAGCGGAGGAAAUCACUAUUGAAUCCCGGCCCCUGCAGGUCGACUAUGGGAAACUCCCACCCGUUGGAGCUUACUUGGUUUUUUGG
RNAcentral lists this ribosomal RNA (132 nucleotides) under uncultured fungus. RNAcentral's name for it is "partial 28S ribosomal RNA". The record is from RNAcentral. Lineage: Eukaryota; Fungi.